CCUACGGGAGGCAGCAGUGAGGAAUAUUGGUCAAUGGCCGCAGGGCUGAACCAGCCAAGUCGCGUGAGGGAUGACGGUCCUAUGGAUUGUAAACCUCUUUUGUCAGGGAGUAAAUGGCGCCACGUGUGGCGUUUUGCGAGUACCUGAUGAAAAAGCAUCGGCUAACUCCGUGCCAGCAGCCGCGGUAAUACGGAGGAUGCGAGCGUUAUCCGGAUUUAUUGGGUUUAAAGGGUGCGCAGUGGGAAUGUCAAGUCAGUGGUAAAAUUUCGGGGCUCAACCUCGUAGUGCAGUUGAAACUGGCGUUCUUGAGUGAGCGAGAGGUAGGCGGAAUGCGGGGUGUAGCGGUGAAAUGCAUAGAUAUCACGCAGAACUCCGAUUGCGAAGGCAGCAUAC
RNAcentral lists this ribosomal RNA (393 nucleotides) under uncultured bacterium. RNAcentral's name for it is "partial 16S ribosomal RNA". It matches the Rfam family "Bacterial small subunit ribosomal RNA", at positions 338 to 729 of the family's 1533-position model. The record is from RNAcentral.